AGCAGAGAAGUUGUACGGCGGUUG
This 24-nucleotide non-coding RNA is filed under the name Arabidopsis thaliana (thale cress). The record is from RNAcentral. Lineage: Eukaryota; Viridiplantae; Streptophyta; Magnoliopsida; Brassicales; Brassicaceae.